RNAcentral lists this ribosomal RNA (920 nucleotides) under uncultured bacterium. RNAcentral describes it as "bacterial SSU rRNA". It matches the Rfam family "Bacterial small subunit ribosomal RNA", at positions 33 to 942 of the family's 1533-position model. The record is from RNAcentral.
ACGCUGGCGGCAUGCUUUACACAUGCAAGUCGAACGGCAGCACAGAGAAGCUUGCUUCUUGGGUGGCGAGUGGCGAACGGGUGAGUAACAUAUCGGAACGUACCGAGUAAUGGGGGAUAACUAAUCGAAAGAUUAGCUAAUACCGCAUAUUCUCUGAGGAGGAAAGCAGGGGACCUUCGGGCCUUGCGUUAUUCGAGCGGCCGAUAUCUGAUUAGCUAGUUGGUGGGGUAAAGGCCUACCAAGGCGACGAUCAGUAGCGGGUCUGAGAGGAUGAUCCGCCACACUGGGACUGAGACACGGCCCAGACUCCUACGGGAGGCAGCAGUGGGGAAUUUUGGACAAUGGGCGCAAGCCUGAUCCAGCCAUGCCGCGUGUCUGAAGAAGGCCUUCGGGUUGUAAAGGACUUUUGUCAGGGAAGAAAAGGCUGUUGCUAAUACCGACAGUUGGUGACGGUACCUGAAGAAUAAGCACCGGCUAACUACGUGCCAGCAGCCGCGGUAAUACGUAGGGUGCGAGCGUUAAUCGGAAUUACUGGGCGUAAAGCGAGCGCAGACGGUUACUUAAGCAGGAUGUGAAAUCCCCGGGCUCAACCUGGGAACUGCGUUCUGAACUGGGUGACUAGAGUGUGUCAGAGGGAGGUAGAAUUCCACGUGUAGCAGUGAAAUGCGUAGAGAUGUGGAGGAAUACCGGUGGCGAAGGCAGCCUCCUGGGAUAACACUGACGUUCAUGCUCCAAAGCGUGGGUAGCAAACAGGAUUAGAUACCCUGGUAGUCCACGCCCUAAACGAUGUCAAUUAGCUGUUGGGCAACUUGAUUGCUUAGUAGCGUAGCUAACGCGUGAAAUUGACCGCCUGGGGAGUACGGUCGCAAGAUUAAAACUCAAAGGAAUUGACGGGGACCCGCACAAGCGGUGGAUGAUGU